Molecule: ribosomal RNA, 484 nt
Filed under: uncultured bacterium
Lineage: Bacteria
Description: partial 16S ribosomal RNA
Rfam family: Bacterial small subunit ribosomal RNA
Source: RNAcentral
AUUGAACGCUGGCGGCAGGCCUAACACAUGCAAGUCGAGCGGAUGAAGGGAGCUUGCUCCUGGAUUCAGCGGCGGACGGGUGAGUAAUGCCUAGGAAUCUGCCUGGUAGUGGGGGAUAACGUCCGGAAACGGGCGCUAAUACCGCAUACGUCCUGAGGGAGAAAGAGGGGGAUCUUCGGACCUCACGCUAUCAGAUGAGCCUAGGUCGGAUUAGCUAGUUGGUGGGGUAAAGGCCUACCAAGGCGACGAUCCGUAACUGGUCUGAGAGGAUGAUCAGUCACACUGGAACUGAGACACGGUCCAGACUCCUACGGGAGGCAGCAGUGGGGAAUAUUGGACAAUGGGCGAAAGCCUGAUCCAGCCAUGCCGCGUGUGUGAAGAAGGUCUUCGGAUUGUAAAGCACUUUAAGUUGGGAGGAAGGGCAGUAAGUUAAUACCUUGCUGUUGUGACGUUACCAACAGAAUAAGCACCGGCUAACUUCGUG